This 364-nucleotide ribosomal RNA is filed under the name uncultured bacterium. Its description in RNAcentral is "bacterial SSU rRNA". It matches the Rfam family "Bacterial small subunit ribosomal RNA", at positions 29 to 381 of the family's 1533-position model. The record is from RNAcentral.
AACGAACGCUGGCGGCGCGCCUAAUACAUGCAAGUCGAGCGAGAAGACGUAGCAAUACGUUUGUAAAGCGGCGAACGGGUGAGGAAUACAUGGGUAACCUACCCUCGAGUGGGGAAGUAACUAGCCGAAAGGUUAAGCUAAUACCGCGUACGCUCCUUGGACUUCGGUUCAGGGAGGGAAAGCGAUACCGUGGGUAUCGCGCUCUUGGAUGGGAUCAUGUCCUAUCAGCUUGUUGGUGAGGAACGGCUCACCAAGGCUUCGACGGGUAGCUGGUCUGAGAGGACGAUCAGCCACACUGGCACUGCGACACGGGCCAGACUCCUACGGGAGGCAGCAGUAAGGAAUAUUGCGCAAUGGGCGAAAG